Molecule: long non-coding RNA, 3656 nt
Filed under: Lactuca sativa (garden lettuce)
Lineage: Eukaryota; Viridiplantae; Streptophyta; Magnoliopsida; Asterales; Asteraceae
Description: long non-coding RNA (LSAT_LNC003280)
Source: RNAcentral
CUGAUUCUGAUGGGUCAUGCCCAUUCAUAAUUAGCCUAUGAAGGGGAUGCCCUAAUUUCCAACCAAUCAUGGAAUGUCAUGUGGACGCUUUUGGAACCUUCAACCUCAUGAGCAUCGUCAACCAAUGAGCAUCCUCCUUAAGCAUCUUCAAUUGAUGAGCGUCCUCCUUGAGCAUAUUCAACUGAUAAGCGUCCUCCUCGAGCAUAUUCAACUGAUAAGGAUCCUCCUUGAGCAUCUUCAACUUGUGAGCAUCCAUAAUUCUCACACGAGAUCCAUGAUGAUCACGCGUAAUCCCUGAUGCUCACUUGAAUUUGAUCAAGUAUUCACACCGCUACAAAAGCAUGUACUUUUAGAAUAAUAUUUGAAAAUGUAAAGGCUUGUACGUAACUUUUUCUUUGUAUUGGUUGAUUCAUCCUCAUUAGCAAAAUAUGUUAAACUUAAGAUUUUGUGACAUAAUUCCACAAAUUUAACUAUUUGUUUUUAAAAUUUGUAACAUCCCAAAUAUAUGAAUAAAAUUUUGUUUUUAAAUUCAUUCAAAUCAUACGAUACUAAUAUCAAAAUUGUCAAAAGUGUAUCAUAGCAACGUGUUAUCAGAGUAAAAAUUCCCAAAAUCUCAAAAUGCGGAAACGAUAGGGUGAUACGGUGCGAUCAGGUCGGUCCCUUCCCUUUCGAACUGGAAGUACCUGAAACAUAAACUGAAAAAAAUUGUAAGCGUAAACCUUAGUGAAUUCCCCCAAAAUACCACAUACCAUACAAACAUACAACUAAGCAUAUAUGGGUGCUUGCAAUCCCCUUCAGUCUAUUUCAACUGAAUACUGGCAAGCAUAUAUGGAUGCUUACAAUCCCCUUCAAUAUAUUUCAACUGGAUAUCGGGUCUAUUUCACCCCUACCACUACCAUAUAAUAUCAUACUAAAGAAUCACAGAGUCAUCAAGCAAACAGAGGCAUAACUGAAGAUUACUACAUCAUAAACUAGUGACCCGGCAUUGGUGCCUUCGACCCAAGGAUACAAUGAAGGAAACUCACCUCAGACUGAAGGUAUAAAAUCGCACUUAAUGGAUGACUUGCGAAAUCCUCUCCCUAAGGCACAAGUAUAAACCCUAAUUAGAGAUUGGGCCAAUAUCCUAACCUGAAAUUCCAAACCCUCAUUCUUGACUUAAGGAAAAAAGGGUUUCUUCACCCUUGCCUCAAUGGGCCUCCCUCCCACCAAGUCCUAAAACCAUACAAGUCCAAAAAGGCAUCCAAGCCCAACUACAAAGUCCUUUAAGGCCCAAUAUGGCCCAAGAGCACCCAACAUGGCCUUAAUCCCACCAAAUGUCUUGCUACAACAGGUGGGCCAGAGGCCCAAUCCUAAACAAGUAAAAAACUCAACCAGAUUUGAGCCCAAAAAUCUUUUAAGUCCACAGACUACGUACGCGCAACAUACAUGGCUCGUACACCCAACAUACACUGAUGAUCUGAAAUUGGGGCACUGACCCAGUACACGCAGCGUAAUCUAGAGGGCGCCCGACGUAUUGGUCAGUCAACCCAAACUUGCACCCAUGAAUUAAUCCAUUAAGCCCUAACAUCCAAAACUUAGAUCCAAGCUCAUAAUAGUGUCUUAAGUCAUAAAGUUGCAAACCUUAUGCUCUUGCAUGCCUUAUUGAGGCUCAAACUAUGAAUUAAGCCCUUUAACUCACUUAGGUGGUCACCAACUCAUGCAUGGUUGAGUCUUAACCUUCAAGAUAAUAUUUUUAUGACUUCAUGCACUCCCAAGAGUCCCAAAGGACAACUUAAAUGGCCUCGAGUAGCCCAUACUCCAAAAGACCAAGUUAUGGGACUAAAAGAUGCUAAAAUCAUCCUUAAACCUAGAUAUAAGCUUAGAAUGAACAAGUUUCAGACUUUAUACAUUCAAUAGGCUAGAAAUGAUGCACAAAUUCUAGAUCUACAAGCUCAUUAUUCUCCUUUCCUUCUUUGUCAAAACCACAAAAGAACCCCCAAACACUAUAUGUAAGAUACAAAUGCACUCAAUAUGGCUAGGGUUUCGAGAUUAGCACUAAAAGGCAAUGGAAGCUGAAAGGGUGAUGCACCUAGUGGCGGAGCUAAGAAGGGGCCAGGGGAGGCCAUCCCCCCNNNNCUAAAUAGAAAAUAUUAUACAAACAACAACCGUAAACUCUAUUUUCUGAGAAAUAACAACAAAUCGGCCCCUACAGCUUUUGUAAUAAUGGAUUAAGCAUUGAAAUUAUUUUCAAGUUAAUCCCAAAGAGAGGCAUAUAUUUGAGAAACUAAAAGAAUCGGAAGCCACUAAAAUAAAAGCUACAAAUUCAAAAUAGCUAACUAUCCUAUUUUGACGGAAGCUAUUUUGACAGAAGUGGGGAUAUUGUACAAUUUUUUUUUUGAAAAUUUGAACUAUUUAAUAACCUACAAGGUAAAGAAAGAAGUGGAAAACGUAUCAAAGAUAAAACCAGAAACUUAUAACUCUUAAUUAUGUCUCCGCCUCCUUAUUCUCGCCCUCUCCGUCACAACCGGUUUCUUCUCCGGCUCCGGAGUCGCCGAAUCGUCGCCGCCGCUCGGUCUCUCAGUCUCUCCGUCCGGAGUGCCUCUCCGACUUCCACAACUCCGAUCGCUUGAGCACCUUCAGAUUAUCACGUCUCCAUCUCACCUCUACAAUCUCGAAUUCUCGAUUAAUUGUAAGUCAUUUUGCCUCUCAUUUUGUAUAUUCUUAUUAUAGUGUUUUAGGGUUUGUACAAAGAGAAAUAAGGGAUUUUAAAAGGAGAUGUGAUAUGAUAUCCCAAGAUGGGGCAGCACACUUCUCAACAUCUGCUAAUUUGCUAGUGUUAAGUCGUCGCUUUUUUCUUUUCUUUUUUAAUAUUUGAUAAUUAACAUUUAAAAAGUAUGUUUGUUUUUUUCAUAAUUAUAAUACCCUUUAUUAAAUCAUAGAAAAUAUAUUAAUUAAAUAGAUUAUAUAAUUAAAAUGUAAAAGUUACAUUAAAUAAAGACGAUGUAAUUUAAAAUUUAAUUUUAGAAAUAAAAGGUAUAGUUUAAAACUUGUAUAUAAUUAUAAGGGUGUAAUUUAAAAAACUACAUCCAAGUUUUAGAAAAAAAAUCCUGUAUCCUGUACCAAAAAAAAUUAUGAACAAAAUUUAGAGUACAUCACACAUGUUUUUUUGCAGCUAGUUACUUAAGGACUUUAAUAAAGUGCAAAGGUUUGCCUCUGGCUAGAGUAGGCCCAACGUACGCCAGGAUCAUUCCGAUGAUAUGCAUGCAAGGAGUAUGCCUUGCGUACCUACUACCUAAUGUACGCCCAACGUACUCACGAACCAUUCACCACCUUUUUAAUUGAAUCAAAUAGAAUAAUAGAUUAAUACCAUACCUGACGACUUGGGCGUUACAAAAUUUGUCUUUUAAAAACAUUACUUAAAAUAACUAAUGCGAUAGAUGUUUGAAUAACUACGAGAAUCUCGGAGAGUUAAGAUUGCAUCGACCAUGUUGUAUAAUUUUUAGGACUUUAGGUGUUAUUUGUCGCAACCCGUGGCUCGACUCUUAAUCUAGAGUGUUGUUGGUGGGUUACACCACUAGCCGAACACACAGGCCUUUACAUCAUGGUCUCGAUUAGAGAUGCACAUUAGCGAUCUCAGGCCGGUCUUGGGUUGGUUUCAAAACGUUUCGGUUUUUUUU